This 99-nucleotide transfer RNA is filed under the name bacterium. Its description in RNAcentral is "tRNA-OTHER". The record is from RNAcentral.
GUAGUAAUUGGAGAGAGAACGCGUUGGAGUUUCAGAGCGGGUUGCGCGUAAGUGAUCUCUUUGGUCGCCACACCGGUUCGAUUCCGGUCCUAGCCUCCA